GUUUUGUUCCGAACCCAAACUUCUCCAUAAAAAUUCCCCAAUUUGAAAUUUUUUCUCGGUUUUUCUCCCACAUUCCCCUCAAUAUUCCCACCCCUUUCCAUGGAUCUUCCAGCAUUCCGGGCGCACCUGAGGCUGCAGAGCAGCUCCUGGAAUUUGGGCUUGGAGGAACCUUGGAGACCCUUUGGAGACCCUUUGGAGACCCCUUGGAGACCCUUUGGAGGCCCUUUGGAGACCCUUUGGAGACCCUGUCCUGGGAACCAAAGCCCUUCCAACCCCAUCCCCUUCCAAAGGUUCCUCCACCACCAAACUUUUCCCAUGAAAACUCCCAAUUCCGAGCUUUUUCCCAUCUUUUUCCCCUCAACAUUCCCACCCCUUUCCAUGGUUCCUCCACCAUUCCAGGUCCACCUGAGGCUGCAGAGCAGCUCCUGGAAUUUGGGCUUGGAGGAACCUUGGAGGAACCUUGGAGACCCUGUCCUGGGAACCAAAGCCCUUCCAACCCCAUCCCCUUCCAAAGGCUCCUCCAAAGGUUCCUCCAAAGGUUCCUCCAACACCAAACAUUUCCCAUGAAAAUUCCCAAUUCCGAGCUUUUUCCCAUCUUUUUCCCCUCAACAUUCCCACCCCUUUCCAUGGAUCCUCCACCAUUCCAGGCCCACCUGAGGCUGCAGACGAGCUCCUGGAAUUUGAGCUUGGAGGAACCUUGGAGACCCUUUGGAGACCCCUUGGAGGAACCUUGGAGACCCUUUGGAGACCCUGUCCUGGCAACCAAAGCCCUUCCAACUCCAUCGUCUUCCAAAGGCUCCUCCAACACCAAACAUUUCCCAUGAAAACUCCCAAUUCCAAGGUUUUUCCCCCCAACAUUCCCACCCCCUUCCAUGGUUCCUCCACCAUUCCAGGCCCACCUGAGGCUGCAGAGCAGCUCCUGGAAUUUGGGCUUGGAGGAACCUUGGAGGAACCUUGGAGACCCUUUGGAGACCCUNCUUGGAGGAACCUUGGAGACCCUUUGGAGACCCUGUCCUGGGAACCAAAGCCAAAGGCUCCUCCAACACCAAAUUUUUCCCGUGAAAACUCCAAGGUUUUUCCCAUCUUUUUCCCCUCAACAUUCCCACCCCUUUCCAUGGUUCCUCCACCAUUCCGGGCGCACCUGAGGCUGCAGAGCAGCUCCUGGAAUUUGGGCUUGGAGGAACCUUGGAGGAACCUUGGAGACCCUGUCCUGGGAACCAAAGCCCUUCCAAUCCCAUCCCCUUCCAAAGGGUCUCCAAAGGUUCCUCCAAAGGUUCCUCCAAAGGCUCCUCCAACACCAAACAUUUCCCGUGAAAACUCCCAAUUCCGAGCUUUUUCCCAUCUUUUCCCCCUCAACAUUCCCACCCCUUUCCAUGGUUCCUCCACCAUUCCAGGCCCACCUGAGGCUGCAGAGCAGCUCCUGGAAUUUGGGCUUGGAGGAACCUUGGAGACCCUUUGGAGACCCUGUCCUGGAACCAAAGCCCUUCCAACCCCAUCCCCUUCCAAAGGGUCUCCAAAGGUUCCUCCAACACCAAACAUUUCCCACGAAAACUCCCAAUUCCGAGCUUUUUCCCAUCUUUUUC
Molecule: long non-coding RNA, 1583 nt
Filed under: Zonotrichia albicollis (white-throated sparrow)
Lineage: Eukaryota; Metazoa; Chordata; Aves; Passeriformes; Passerellidae
Description: lncRNA (ENSZALG00000009288.1)
Source: RNAcentral